RNAcentral lists this transfer RNA (76 nucleotides) under Candidatus Eiseniibacteriota bacterium. RNAcentral's name for it is "tRNA-Val". It matches the Rfam family "tRNA". Rfam says of the family: Transfer RNA (tRNA) molecules are approximately 80 nucleotides in length. Their secondary structure includes four short double-helical elements and three loops (D, anti-codon, and T loops). Lineage: Bacteria; Candidatus Eiseniibacteriota. The record is from RNAcentral.
GGGCGGCUAGCUCAGCUGGCAGAGCACCUGGAUCACAACCAGGGGGUCACAGGUUCAAGUCCUGUGCCGCCCACCA